UCCCUGGUGGUCCAGUGGUUAGGACUCAGCACUUUCACUACUGGGGCCUGGAUUCGAUUCCUGGUCAGGGAA
Molecule: non-coding RNA, 72 nt
Organism: Lipotes vexillifer (Yangtze River dolphin)
Lineage: Eukaryota; Metazoa; Chordata; Mammalia; Artiodactyla; Lipotidae
Source: the annotation of a RefSeq genome assembly